Long non-coding RNA from Harpia harpyja (harpy eagle), 1790 nucleotides. RefSeq lists it as uncharacterized. Lineage: Eukaryota; Metazoa; Chordata; Aves; Accipitriformes; Accipitridae. The transcript is spliced from 3 exons. The record is from RefSeq and is a predicted model, not a curated record.
AGCUUCUGCAGCAGCAGCAGCCCCUGAGCAGCCAGGGGGAAAUGGAGGCAUGGCUGCUUGGAGAUGCUCCCCCCAGCCUGGGGGUCUCCACCCUUGGGGACGGACUGUGGGUCACCUAGCUCAGGCUGUCACCCCCCUGACAGCCGGGUCCUUGGCACCCUCCCACCCUUUCAGAAUCAGCCCUUUUCCAGCCUGAUUACAGGCCUGGCUGGAAAUGCAGACAACUCAUGGUUUCGGUGUGAGUCACAGAAGGUUUGGUGGCUUUUCUCUCCUUGCAACUCCAGGCUCUCCGGGCUGCAGCGGUUAGCUGGCAGCGUCGGGCUCCUCGCCCGGAGGAAGCAGAUCUGCAGCCCUUGGACGCAUGGAGAGAAGUUGGGAUGUGUCCUGAGUAGGCUCAGGGGGAGCAAGCCAGCGCAGGACCUCAGGUCUCCCGGCAAGCGUUGUCUCAUGCCACUGGGGACAGAAGCAGCAGUUCUGGUAUGCAGAGUGUUGCCCCAGAGGUCACGUAACAUCUGGGCGCUUGGAAACUGCUGUCAGUGAAUAGCUAUGGAAACACAUCCUGAAGCAAUGUGAAAUAUCUCAAGGUGAACCUCUGCAAUGGGCAUCACCGACAUCCUGCCUGGGAGCCCAGUGACCCCAACAUCACUUCUCCAGCUUCAGCAUUGGUUUGUAAUGUCAACAUAACCCUCUUAUAAUAGCAGCCCUGUCAUUUAUGCUUACUUAUCAGUCUAUUUAUAAUAUCUCUAAGCAAGCCCGUUAUUUAUUGGGAUAAAAUUGGCUGUCCAGAGAGGCUGAAGUCUGCACAGGGUCAGGAGGAACAUGAAUACCCUUUUUCUAAUUCUGACACUAUACGCCUCCCAAAGGUGAAGGCUGUCAGUACUAUUAGCAGAUAUUACUGCGCAACAGGAAGACAAUUACUGCGGGAGAACUGUUUCUCCUGAGCUUAAUGAUUCACUAGCACGUGUGAGUGCCAUUAAUCCCCAAGGGAGCGGAGGCAGCUGGCCUCGUGAACACACUAUUCCCCGCUCAAGCCUUGCAGCGAUGCUGGUGAUGCUGUGGAGAGGUUCUCCCCUGCUCUGGGUGUCUCAGAAAAUACUCUUGAGAGGGCGCAGGGCUGCUCUGCAGCUCACAGGGGGCUGGCACUCGAGCUGGACCAUGCUUUGGGCUUUUUCAACAAUACCUGCUACCCUGCGGUGGGAAUCCUUACUUGCCUGGCAGGGUCUUUGCCAUUGAGCUUUUCCCUGCAGCAACAGCUGUGCCAUGCAGAGUCAGGUGAGAAGCUCAGCACAUUCACUCGCCUUUUAGGUGUUCAGGAAGCUCCUAGACCCUCUGUGGUCACCACAGGAGGGAUCACAGCUAGCCUUCGUGGACAAAGCAUCUCAAGUCCUCCCCCAACAGCAGCACUGGCCGCAUCACAGGCCCUAUGCUGGCUGCUGGGCUUUGCUGGGGGCAAUGGCUGGCCGGUUGGGGAUGCUCGCUCUCUGCCCGUGAGGCCAUGGGGCAUCCCGGCUACGGCAGCUGGGUCCUGCACCAGGCCGUUCUGCUCCAGCUGGUCCAACAUGCACAACACAAGCUGGCACGGGCUGUGGAGUAGUCGGUUUGUAAUGGAAAUGCUGCCUGCAGAGCUUCCUCUGCUCCUCAGCAACACUCUGACACUUCUGUGCCUUAUAUUACAGGGUUUAUAUGAAAUCAUAGGUGAUUUCUGAGCAUAAUAGGCACAAUUAAAGGUAUGAUGAUACACAGAUGAGCUUACACCGGGGCUGCAAAUUGAAGAGAUUCUCCUUCCCAGC